This 252-nucleotide ribosomal RNA is filed under the name uncultured bacterium. RNAcentral's name for it is "partial 16S ribosomal RNA". It matches the Rfam family "Bacterial small subunit ribosomal RNA", at positions 524 to 776 of the family's 1533-position model. The record is from RNAcentral.
UACGAAGGGUGCAAGCGUUACUCGGAAUUACUGGGCGUAAAGCGUGCGUAGGUGGUUUGUUAAGUCUGAUGUGAAAGCCCUGGGCUCAACCUGGGAAUUGCAUUGGAUACUGGCAGGCUAGAGUGCGGUAGAGGGUAGUGGAAUUCCCGGUGUAGCAGUGAAAUGCGUAGAGAUCGGGAGGAACAUCUGUGGCGAAGGCGACUACCUGGACCAGCACUGACACUGAGGCACGAAAGCGUGGGAGCAAACAGG